RNAcentral lists this ribosomal RNA (278 nucleotides) under Metasarcus sp. n. RPDR-2013. RNAcentral's name for it is "partial 16S ribosomal RNA". Lineage: Eukaryota; Metazoa; Arthropoda; Arachnida; Opiliones; Metasarcidae. The record is from RNAcentral.
GCAUAAUCAUUAGUUUUUUAAUUGAGGACUGGAAUGAAGGGUUGAUACUAAAAGGGAGGUUUUGUUAAAUAAAUUUGAAUUUAAAUUAAUAGUAAAAAUGCUAUUAUAAAUUCUUGGGACGAGAAGACCCUAGAAGCUUUAAAUUUUAUAAAAUUUUUGAUUGGGGUAAUCAUUGAAGAUAAAAAUUUUUAAUUAAUUAAAUUAAUAUUUAUAAGUUACUCUAGGGAUAACAGCAUUAUUUAAUUAGCAAGUUCUUAUUAAUAAUUAAGUUUGUGACC